This is a non-coding RNA of Cinara cedri, 565 nucleotides long. Lineage: Eukaryota; Metazoa; Arthropoda; Insecta; Hemiptera; Aphididae. The record is from the annotation of a GenBank genome assembly.
GACGAUUUUGAAAUGCGCAAAAGAAAAAUAAAAACGACGGAAGUAUAAUUCGAACCACAGCCUAUAGGUGGGAAGUCUGAAACGCGUAAAUUACCCUAAAUUACGCAUUAGGUACGCGGGCUAAUUUAAUUUGUACGCCGAAAGUGAAGAUAUACCGAAAUGGUGUUUUUGAUCGGGACAGUAUAAUGAUCGUAGUGUAAGCCAAUUUUUUAAAGAAAAACUAUAACUAAACAUGUGUCAUGUGAAUAAUUUGAAACGUAUUUACUAAUCGAAAAUGUUUUAAUGUAGCUUCUUCGCCACACCCAGAAUACAAACAAAAACGCGAUGAAAAAUCGAGAUUGUAAGUGUAUACCAAUCCAACAAUCGAAUUCGCAAAGUUCUAUAACAAUAUGUUAUAUGAAAAUCGUCUACGUUAUUUCGUUUCCUUGGUUUUCGGCGUUCAAAACUAAAAUUUAAUGAAAUAAAAUUUAUUCGCGUUAAUGCAUAAUACGAUACCAAAUUUAUAUUAGACCCGCACACACAUAAUGUGGCCUCAUUUCCUGGUCGUUUCUUCGAUUUUAUCGGC